UCCGAGCAUGAGUAGUGGGGUUUUGAGCGCCCGGUACUUGUUCGAUCUUCAAGUUGAAAUUGCCUAGAGUUAAAAACAAGGCAAUGCACCCCCCAUCUUUUUCUAGCUGGAUUUGCCCCUGUUCUAAGUGGCUUAAACUAUUCUGUAUCGAACCAUGAAUACUCCGAAAAAUAUAUACAAUAAUUCACUUGAGUUGUAACGAAUUUUUCCCAUCCAUAAUCACAUAUACAAUUUCCUAUCUGAAAUUUUGUUGAGUGAGUUCUAGUUCACAAUGUUGAGAACUCACAUGACACAACCAAUUUCGCCAGCAAAUGUGCAGGGCAAUCAAUUCGUCAGCUCUAACACUGCAAUGUACAAACCCAAGAGAGCCGCCCUCCGAUCGAGUCCGACGACGAAGGCUACACCGGCGGCAGCGCAUCGGCAUCUGCGUCGGCCGACGUCGACUCCGCCGCCGCCGCCGCGGGCUUCGUCN
This 472-nucleotide long non-coding RNA is filed under the name Oryza brachyantha (malo sina). RNAcentral describes it as "long non-coding RNA (OBRA_LNC000422)". Lineage: Eukaryota; Viridiplantae; Streptophyta; Magnoliopsida; Poales; Poaceae. The record is from RNAcentral.